GCUCGGACCCGUCCGGCGGGGCCGCUCAGCCAGCGCGGCGGCAGGCGGGCAUGGCGGCCUCCAGGGCGGGGUAGGCCGGGCUCGGGGGGGCGGGGUAAACCAGGAUUGCCGGGCCGGGGCUUCGGCGGCCUUACCCCGCGCGGGGCCGCGCCGCGGCCCCGCACUCACCUGCCGCCGGCCCCGCCGUCCGGGGAAGGCCCCGCCGGCCCCGCACUUCCGUGCCGCCGGGCCCGCCCCGCUCCCACGGCGAAACCACGCGGGGCGGCGCCGAGCGACGCCGGGGCUGCCUCCCCGGCGCAGGCCGGCAGGGCACGGCAUGGCCCGGACCGGCCUGCUCCAAGGUGCCUCCCGCUCGUGUACCAAGGCUGCCCGUGCCUUCCCUGCCCGCAGGUCUGCUGUAUUCUGUUUGAGAUGGAUUAUUCCUGAGUGGCAUUAACCCAUGCAGAGCCCACUGCUGCCUAUGGAAAAUGAGUAUUAUUGUUUCCCCUAUGGAUUAUGUUACUUUUUAAAAUGCAAUUUUAUCUUCUAUUUUACUGCCUGGUGAAGGUGAGAUCUUCAGUCAGCCCUCUGGGACCACCUUCUUUCCCCAUAUUUCUUAGGACGGCACCCAAAUGUCAUACGAAGUCCAUCUCCUUUGCAUUUGCCAAGACCAAGCAUCCUCUCUGGUAUCACAAAUCCAGCUAUUUACAUGCCUGAUAAUGUCAUUUCCUGCCAUGGUGGCCCACAAAAAGCAAAUGAACUCCAAUACGCACACCUGAGAUGACAGAAGGCUCCUUCCAAAAUACUGCUCAAACACAAGACUGUCCUGAGAUUUGAGCUCAGGAAAGCAUUUCACUGGGGCUUGAGUGGAAGAACUAAAAGUCUGAUCAGGCCACUGUCAACCAACUGGAUAAAUCCAGAUUUGCAGUGCUUAGGACCACAUCAUAACUACUGCAACCACAAAAAACCAAAUUGCUGACCCAAUGUACACUGAUUCUGACAGGUCAACAGGAUCCAAGAAACUUUGUAUGAGAGUAAAAUUCACUUGAGGGUCCUGGCUUUGGAUCUGGUGGUGUCUGCAAGCACUGCUCUACUAGACUGCAUGGCUGAAUCCCGCACAGUCACCACCUCUCCCCACAAACCUGUCCCCAAAUCCCUGGUCCACAGAUGUCACUGCCCUCCCAUAUGCCCACACUCUGGCAUCUGCUGGUCUUGGCAUUUUUCUUGGUGGACAUCAGUUUCUCCACAUGCAGAUCUGGCUCAAGUUGUAGCCACCCCUUCCAUUUGGACUGAGGCUUGAUACAUCAGUGACAAGAGCAGCUUAGGUCACAGCUGAGUUACAUCAACCUGAUGCACAACCUGUGUGCAUGUCCAUGCACAUGCCAUGCUUGUGCAUAGGUGCUGCACACACUGUGUGCUUCUGUGCGUGCCCCCAUUCCUGUAAAGGUGAUUCACACACUGUGUGUGUCCAUGAACGCCCCUGUGCCAGCCCCUAUCCAAAGUCACCUUCCAAAUCACAGUGUUUGCUGGUGAAGAGGAAUCAGGGUGUUCUGGACCAAGUGAUUCUUGUGGCCGUCACCUGCCCCGCUGCUUGCUGCUGCAUUUGUUAUUUCUCCUCCCCAGGGAGGACCAGCUCAAGUGCUGUUGGCUUUCCCAGUCUGGAGUUCUCUACCAUCACCUUCCCACUUCUGCAGUAAUCGCUGCUGUGCCGUCAUGGGCAGACAGCCGAUGCCCAGCAAAUCUGCUCCAUCUGUCAAUCCUGUGCUGGAGGGAUGCAGUGCCACCAGCGAUGUGCCUGCAGCGCACGAUGCAACAGCUUGACAGGCAAGACUAGGACCAAAUAGAUACCAACACACCUCUGUGUUAAAGACCAGGCUGCCAAGGCAUGAGAUGCUCCUGAGGCCGAUGGAAGGAUGCGACCCCCGUGACUGCAUGGAGCAGUGCUGCUGGCCGGGGCAGGAGCCUUGUGCCUGCAAGAAAUGGGGGAAUGUUUUAGCUGGUCCUGAGACAUCUUCGAGGUGCGAGGAAUAAAAAAAAAAGAAUAAAAUAUGCUUUCUCCCAAAAAGAUCAACUCG
This is a non-coding RNA of Phalacrocorax carbo (great cormorant), 2054 nucleotides long. Lineage: Eukaryota; Metazoa; Chordata; Aves; Suliformes; Phalacrocoracidae. The record is from RefSeq and is a predicted model, not a curated record.